This 496-nucleotide ribosomal RNA is filed under the name uncultured bacterium. RNAcentral describes it as "partial 16S ribosomal RNA". It matches the Rfam family "Bacterial small subunit ribosomal RNA", at positions 28 to 506 of the family's 1533-position model. The record is from RNAcentral.
GAUGAACGCUGGCGGCGUGCCUAAUACAUGCAAGUCGAGCGAACGGACGAGAAGCUUGCUUCUCUGAUGUUAGCGGCGGACGGGUGAGUAACACGUGGAUAACCUACCUAUAAGACUGGGAUAACUUCGGGAAACCGGAGCUAAUACCGGAUGAUAUUUUGAACCGCAUGGUUCAAAAGUGAAAGACGGUCUUGCUGUCACUUAUAGAUGGAUCCGCGCUGCAUUAGCUAGUUGGUAAGGUAACGGCUUACCAAGGCAACGAUGCAUAGCCGACCUGAGAGGGUGAUCGGCCACACUGGAACUGAGACACGGUCUAGACUCCUACGGGAGGCAGCAGUAGGGAAUCUUCCGCAAUGGGCGAAAGCCUGACGGAGCAACGCCGCGUGAGUGAUGAAGGUCUUCGGAUCGUAAAACUCUGUUAUUAGGGAAGAACAUAUGUGUAAGUAACUGUGCACAUCUUGACGGUACCUAAUCAGAAAGCCACGGCUAACUACGU